Molecule: non-coding RNA, 208 nt
Organism: Pelobates cultripes (western spadefoot toad)
Lineage: Eukaryota; Metazoa; Chordata; Amphibia; Anura; Pelobatidae
Source: the annotation of a GenBank genome assembly
CUAAAACUACAGCUUCAAUGAUGCAUUGUCAUUCUAAAAGCAUUCCAAAGGAAUGCAUCGCAUAAUGGGAGUUAUAGUUCUAUAACAUCUGGGGGAUCUACCUUGUGGGCACCCCUGGUCUAAGCAAUAAACCGUACACAGCAGGUAACCUUUUUUAAGGUAAUAAUAGUACAGGUCGUUCUAAGUUAACACACUGAUAUAAAGCAAA